AGCGAACGCUGGCGGCAGGCCUAACACAUGCAAGUCGAACGCCCCUUCGGGGGAGUGGCGGACGGGUGAGUAACGCGUGGGAAUGUGCCCUUUGGUACGGAACAACUGAGGGAAACUUCAGCUAAUACCGUAUGUGCCCUACGGGGGAAAGAUUUAUCGCCUUUGGAGCAGCCCGCGUUGGAUUAGGUAGUUGGUGGGGUAAUGGCCCACCAAGCCGACGAUCCAUAGCUGGUCUGAGAGGAUGAUCAGCCACACUGGGACUGAGACACGGCCCAGACUCCUACGGGAGGCAGCAGUGGGGAAUCUUGCGCAAUGGGCGAAAGCCUGACGCAGCCAUGCCGCGUGAAUGAUGAAGGUCUUAGGAUUGUAAAAUUCUUUCACCGGGGAAGAUAAUGACGGUACCCGGAGAAGAAGCCCCGGCUAACUUCGUG
RNAcentral lists this ribosomal RNA (431 nucleotides) under uncultured bacterium. RNAcentral describes it as "partial 16S ribosomal RNA". It matches the Rfam family "Bacterial small subunit ribosomal RNA", at positions 29 to 507 of the family's 1533-position model. The record is from RNAcentral.